RNAcentral lists this ribosomal RNA (284 nucleotides) under Clausocalanus sp. AR-2011. RNAcentral's name for it is "partial 16S ribosomal RNA". Lineage: Eukaryota; Metazoa; Arthropoda; Copepoda; Calanoida; Clausocalanidae. The record is from RNAcentral.
UUGUUAAGGUAGCAUAGUAAUUAGUUUCUUAAUUGGAAAAUAGAAUGAAUGAUUUUAUGAGGUAUAAGAAUUUAAUUUAUUUCAGCAAAAUUUUAUUUCAAAUGAAAAUAUUUGAAUAUUUUAAUUAGACAAAAAGACCCUAUGAAACUAAGAAUUAAUUAUUAAUCUAAAAUACUUAAAAAGUUCUUUUUUUGGGGUAAAAUUUAACUUUUUUAUUAAUAUUUUUUUAUUAAUUGAUCCUAAUUUGAUAAAAUGAAGUAGUUCCUCUAGGGAUAACAGCAUAA